AGUCCUCCGGAGGCUGAGAGCAAACGGCUGCACUAGGAACCCAGCAGUCAGACCGGCCCCCACCCUGGAGUGAACACAUCGCCACUGCCAGGCAUCGCAGGGAGGAUUACCCCAAUGGCACCUGGCUGGGCGACGAGAACAACCCCGAGAUGCGGGUGCACUGCGCCAUCAUCCCCUCCGACAUGCUGCACAUCAGCACCAACUGCCGCACGGCCGAGGAGAUGGUGCUCACGCUGCUGGACUACCUCUUCCACCGCGAGGUGCAGGCUGUGUCCAGCCUCUCGGGGCAGGGCAAGCACGGGAAGAAGCAGCUGGACCCGCUCACCAUCUAUGGCAUCCGGUGUCACCUUUUCUAUAAAUUUGGCAUCACAGAAUCUGACUGGUACCGAAUCAAGCAGAGCAUCGACUCCAAGUGCCGCACGGCGUGGCGGCGCAAGCAGUGGGGCCAGAGCCUGGUGGUCAAGAGCUUCUCGUGGAGAAUGCCCAACUCAUCCUCCUACUGCCCCUCAGAGCCGAUGAUGAGCACCCCACCUCCUGCCAGAGAGCUCCUGCAGCCACAGCUGCAGCCGCAGGCCCUGCACUACGCGCUGGCCAACGUGCAGCAGGUGCAGAUCCACCAGAUCGGAGAAGACGGACAGGUGCAAGUAGGACACCUCCACAUCGCCAAGGUGCCACAGGGGGAGCAAGUCCAGAUCACGCAGGACAGCGAGAGCCCGUGUUCUGGUACUACGUGAAGGAGGUCCUCAACAAGCACGAGCUGCAAGCGCUUCUACUCCCUGCGCCACAUCGCCUCAGACGUGGGCCGGGGCCGCACCUGGCUGCGCUGUGCCCUCAACGAACACUCCCUGGAGCGCUACCUGCACAUGCUCCUGGCCGACCGCUGCAGGCUCAGUACUUUUUAUGAAGACUGGUCUUUUGUGAUGGAUGAAGAGAGGUCCAGUAUGCUUCCUACCAUGGCAGCAGGUCCGAACUCCAUACUCUUUGCGAUUAACAUUGACAACAAGGAUUUGAACGGGCAGAGUAAGUUUGCUCCCACCGUUUCAGACCUCUUAAAGGAGUCAACGCAGAAUGUGACCUUGCUGAAGGAGUCCACGCAAGGAGUGAGCAGCGUGUUCAGGGAGAUCACAGCCUCCUCUGCCAUCUCCAUCCUCAUCAAACCUGAACAGGAGACCGACCCCUUGCCCGUCGUGUCCAGGAAUGUCAGUGCUGAUGCCAAAUGCAAAAAGGAGCGGAAGAAGAAAAAGCAAGUGACCAACAUUAUCUCAUUUGAUGAUGAGGAAGAUGAGCAGAACUCUGGGGACAUGUUUAAAAAGACACCUGGGGCAGGGGAGAGCUCAGAGGACAACUCCGACCACUCCUCUGUCAAUAUCAUGUCCGCCUUUGAAAGCCCCUUCGGGCCAAACUCCAAUGGAAGUCAGAGCAGCAACUCGUGGAAAAUUGAUUCCCUGUCUUUGAACAGGGAGUUUGGGUACCAGAAGCUUGAUGUGAAAAGCAUCGAUGAUGAAGAUGUGGAUGAAAACGAAGAUGACGUGUAUGGAAACUCAUCAGGACGGAAGCACAGGGGCCACUCAGAGUCGCCCGAGAA
RNA transcript from Homo sapiens (human), 1585 nucleotides. It is a transcript of the gene named sorting nexin 29 pseudogene 2, with no coding region annotated. The record is from RefSeq and is marked validated. The transcript is spliced from 9 exons. NCBI's taxonomy places the organism in Eukaryota, Metazoa, Chordata, Mammalia, Primates, Hominidae.